This 465-nucleotide ribosomal RNA is filed under the name uncultured bacterium. RNAcentral's name for it is "partial 16S ribosomal RNA". It matches the Rfam family "Bacterial small subunit ribosomal RNA", at positions 28 to 507 of the family's 1533-position model. The record is from RNAcentral.
GACGAACGCUGGCGGCGUGCUUAACACAUGCAAGUCGUACGGUAAGGCCCUUUCGGGGGUACACGAGUGGCGAACGGGUGAGUAACACGUGAGUAACCUGCCCACAACUUUGGGAUAACGCUAGGAAACUGGUGCUAAUACUGGAUAUGUGCUCCUGCUGCAUGGUGGGGGUUGGAAAGCUCCGGCGGUUGUGGAUGGACUCGCGGCCUAUCAGCUUGUUGGUGGGGUAGUGGCCUACCAAGGCGGCGACGGGUAGCCGGCCGGAGAGGGUGACCGGCCACAUUGGGACUGGGAUACGGCCCAGACUCCUACGGGAGGCAGCAGUGGGGAAUAUUGCACAAUGGGCGCAAGCCUGAUGCAGCAACGCCGCGUGCGGGAUGACGGCCUUCGGGUUGUAAACCGCUUUCAGCAGGGACGAAGCUUUUUGUGACGGUACCUGCAGAAGAAGCACCGGCUAACUACGUG